Molecule: ribosomal RNA, 429 nt
Filed under: Gemmatimonadota bacterium
Lineage: Bacteria; Pseudomonadati; Gemmatimonadota
Description: Gemmatimonadetes bacterium partial 16S ribosomal RNA
Rfam family: Bacterial small subunit ribosomal RNA
Source: RNAcentral
UAGGGAAUCUUCGGCAAUGGACGAAAGUCUGACCGAGCAACGCCGCGUGAGUGAAGAAGGUUUUCGGAUCGUAAAACUCUGUUGUUAGAGAAGAACAAGGACGUUAGUAACUGAACGUCCCCUGACGGUAUCUAACCAGAAAGCCACGGCUAACUACGUGCCAGCAGCCGCGGUAAUACGAAGGUGGCAAGCGUGGUCCGGAUUGAUUGGGCGUAAAGCGAGCGCAGGCGGUUUCUUAAGUCUGAUGUGAAAGCCCCCGGCUCAACCGGGGAGGGUCAUUGGAAACUGUGAGACUUGAGUGCAGAAGAGGAGAAUGGAAUUCCAUGUGUAGCGGUGAAAUGCGUAGAUAUAUGGAGGAACACCAGUGGCGAAGGCGGCUCUCUGGUCUGUAACUGACGCUGAGGCUCGAAAGCGUGGGGAGCAAACAGG